This is a long non-coding RNA of Astyanax mexicanus (Mexican tetra), 1144 nucleotides long. RefSeq lists it as uncharacterized. The record is from RefSeq and is a predicted model, not a curated record. The transcript is spliced from 5 exons. Lineage: Eukaryota; Metazoa; Chordata; Actinopteri; Characiformes; Acestrorhamphidae.
AGCAGGGCAUUAUGGGGGUGUGUUUUGGGAGUAUUAGGGGGAUCUACCAUCACUGUGCAGUUUAGCCACCUGAGGGGUUUUUGGCUGUGUUUAAUAGAUCGGGUUUUACUCUUCAAGCACUUUUAAGAGCUGUAAGCGAGCAGUAUCCUGUUAAUAAAGAGCUUCUUGCUAAGAGCAUGCUUCCUGCUUCUUCAUCUCCCUGCCGGUCCCGAACCCUAGGAGUGAAAAACUACAGGGGGCUACGUUGAGCCCAAGCUCUGGUGAUCACCCUAUGGGAGAAGAAGUGGCCAUUGUUACAGACAGAGCACGGAUCUCUCGGCCGCAAAAAUAACAGCUGAUGAUGAUGCUGAUUCUCACCGAGAGCCUGGUUUGGACCUUAAGAGCAACUAUAAUGAAACGAUCAAGAUACAGCGUCAAGGAGAAUGGCAACCACAGCACUUUCACAACAACAGAAGGGAGUUUUUCCUUGCCACCGCGCUCAUUGGAAAGUGAUCUGCAGUUUAAAAACUGCCCAUUUUGGUUGAGUUGGUCAUGGCUGGCUGUGUUAAUUGUUUCUAUUCACUCAGCUCAGUAUCUCUGCGUAGACUGUGUAAUGUCAUACAAAAAGAUAAUAAUAAUAAGAAAAAGAUGAAACAACAAUAUUACUUUUAUUAAAGAGUUGUACGUCCUGAGUCAGAAUAUAUUGAUAAAGUCCCAGCGCAAAACUGUAUUACCCAGCAACACUAGCUUUAGUGCAGUCAAACCUCUGAAAUCCACUGAUUCUUCUAUUCGCCUAGUAUAUAACAUGCUGUCAGUGGCUGAUUUUCAUAAUGCUUCUUUAAUUUAACAUUAAAUCAUGUUAUUAGACAUAUCUGUAUAUGUUUAACAAAAUAUUUAAAAUACUGAUAACAUUUACAAUAAAUAUACAUCAAUUAACCAUGCUUACAACAGUUACAAACAUUGUAAAAUAGUGUAUGAAUACGCCUCAACUAGUUAUUAAAUAACAAAUGUUUAAACAUUAUCUAUCAUUAAAAUUCCUUAAACUAUAGACUCAGAUCAUAAUUAAUUAACAGGAUGUACUACAUUUUUACUCAUAAUACCACGUAUUUCCCAACCCAAAUGUUAGUUUCUUCUAUUCUCUUUCUUCUCAGUUUAUAAUGCUGGU